RNAcentral lists this ribosomal RNA (409 nucleotides) under uncultured Mycobacterium sp. RNAcentral describes it as "bacterial SSU rRNA". It matches the Rfam family "Bacterial small subunit ribosomal RNA", at positions 355 to 776 of the family's 1533-position model. The record is from RNAcentral. Lineage: Bacteria; Bacillati; Actinomycetota; Actinomycetes; Mycobacteriales; Mycobacteriaceae.
UGGGGAAUAUUGCACAAUGGGCGCAAGCCUGAUGCAGCGACGCCGCGUGGGGGAUGACGGCCUUCGGGUUGUAAACCUCUUUCAGCACAGACGAAGCGCAAGUGACGGUAUGUGCAGAAGAAGGACCGGCCAACUACGUGCCAGCAGCCGCGGUAAUACGUAGGGUCCGAGCGUUGUCCGGAAUUACUGGGCGUAAAGAGCUCGUAGGUGGUUUGUCGCGUUGUCCGUGAAAUCUCACAACUCAAUUGUGAGCGUGCGGGCGAUACGGGCAGACUGGAGUACUGCAGGGGAGACUGGAAUUCCUGGUGUAGCGGUGGAAUGCGCAGAUAUCAGGAGGAACACCGGUGGCGAAGGCGGGUCUCUGGGCAGUAACUGACGCUGAGGAGCGAAAGCGUGGGGAGCGAACAGG